AGGAGCCAGAACACACCUAACGUCCGACAUGCUCACACAUCGCCUGCUGCUCUCAUUUUAAUUUGGUUACAGAAAGCAGUGAAUCAGAAAUAGCAAACGAUUGUGAAACUUUUGAAAAUUGCGCAGUGGGAAUUAGGCAAAGGGAAAUACUGCACUGCUGUGGUAAAGGAGCUUGAAAAUGGGGUUUCAAAUCACAUUGGAAAAAAAGAAUUUCACAUUUUGUUAUUGAUUUUUUUUUUUGGCCAGGUAACCCUACAGACCAGAAACCACAACUGGAUAAAAGGCAAUGUACCGUAGAUCAAUGCAAUCAAUGUGUUGCUUUUUCCUCCACCACUUGUUGCAAGACAGAAAUCAUCAAGUAAAGACAUUAUUAAAAAAUGAAUGCUAAUAGAAAAUGCCAUACACCUUCUAUGCUCGUUACAAUGGUGACUAGCAUCGGGGUCCACUGCCACAC
Long non-coding RNA from Hippocampus zosterae (dwarf seahorse), 454 nucleotides. RefSeq lists it as uncharacterized. Lineage: Eukaryota; Metazoa; Chordata; Actinopteri; Syngnathiformes; Syngnathidae. The record is from RefSeq and is a predicted model, not a curated record. The transcript is spliced from 2 exons.